GAACGCUAGCGGCAGGCUUAAUACAUGCAAGUCGAGGGGCAGCACAGUGUAGCAAUACAUGGGUGGCGACCGGCAAACGGGUGCGUAACACGUACACAACUUACCCUUACUGGGGGAUAGCCCAGGGAAACUUGGAUUAAUACCCCAUAUUGCAGAUGACCGGCAUCGGUUGUUUGCCAAAGUUCCGACGGUAAAGGAUGGGUGUGCGGUUGAUUAGGUAGUUGGCGGGGUAACGGCCCACCAAGCCUACGAUCAAUAGCUGAUGUGAGAGCAUGAUCAGCCACACGGGCACUGAGACACGGACCAGACUCCUACGGGAGGCAGCAGUGAGGAAUAUUGGUCAAUGGUCGCAAGACUGAACCAGCCAUGCCGCGUGCAGGAAGACGGUCCUAUGGAUUGUAAACUGCUUUUAUACAGGAAGAAACCCUCCCACGUGUGGGAGCUUGACGGUACUGUAGGAAUAAGGAUCGGCUAACUCCGUG
This 482-nucleotide ribosomal RNA is filed under the name uncultured bacterium. RNAcentral's name for it is "bacterial SSU rRNA". It matches the Rfam family "Bacterial small subunit ribosomal RNA", at positions 31 to 507 of the family's 1533-position model. The record is from RNAcentral.